CAGGACAACGCUGGCGGCGUGCUAAUACAUGCAAGUCGAGUCAAGUUUUCUGGUGCUUGCACUAGAAAAACUUAGCGGCGAACGGUGAGUAACACGUAAGAACCUGCCUCAUAGACUGGGACAACUAUUGGAAACGAUAGCUAAUACCGGAUAACAGCAUUAACUGCAUGGUUGAUGUUUAAAAGUUGGUUAUGCUAACACUAUGAGAUGGCUUUGCGGUGCAUUAGCUAGUUGGUGGGGUAAAGGCCCACCAAGGCGACGAUGCAUAGCCGACCUGAGAGGGUGAUCGGCCACACUGGGACUGAGACACGGCCCAGACUCCUACGGGAGGCAGCAGUAGGGAAUCUUCCGCAAUGGGCGAAAGCCUGACGGAGCAACGCCGCGUGAGUGAAGAAGGAUUUCGGUUCGUAAAGCUCUGUUGUUAGGGAAGAAUGGAUAUGUAGUAACUAUACAUAUAAGAGACGGUACCUAACCAGAAAGCCACGGCUAACUACGUG
RNAcentral lists this ribosomal RNA (497 nucleotides) under uncultured Gemella sp. RNAcentral describes it as "bacterial SSU rRNA". It matches the Rfam family "Bacterial small subunit ribosomal RNA", at positions 25 to 507 of the family's 1533-position model. Lineage: Bacteria; Bacillati; Bacillota; Bacilli; Caryophanales; Gemellaceae. The record is from RNAcentral.